This 327-nucleotide ribosomal RNA is filed under the name uncultured eukaryote. RNAcentral's name for it is "partial 18S ribosomal RNA". It matches the Rfam family "Eukaryotic small subunit ribosomal RNA", at positions 1470 to 1796 of the family's 1831-position model. The record is from RNAcentral.
CCCUUAGAUGUUCUGGGCCGCACGCGCGCUACACUGACGAAUGCAACGAGCUUAUAACCUUGGCCGAAAGGUCUGGGUAAUCUCCAAAUUUCGUCGUGAUGGGGAUAGAUUAUUGCAAUUAUUAAUCUUCAACGAGGAAUGCCUAGUAAGCGCAAGUCAUCAGCUUGUGUUGAUUACGUCCCUGCCCUUUGUACACACCGCCCGUCGCUCCUACCGAUUGAAUGGUCCGGUGAAGCGCUCGGACCGCGGCCUCUUGACGGUUCGCUGUCGAUUGGCUGUGGGAAGUUCGUUAAACCUUAUCAUUUAGAGGAAGGAGAAGUCGUAACA